RNAcentral lists this long non-coding RNA (28245 nucleotides) under Lathyrus oleraceus (garden pea). RNAcentral's name for it is "Pisum sativum (pea) long non-coding RNA (PSAT_LNC030128)". Lineage: Eukaryota; Viridiplantae; Streptophyta; Magnoliopsida; Fabales; Fabaceae. The record is from RNAcentral.
ACACUACAUUCUCCAACGUCUCACUCUCCUCACAGUACCUUCACUCUCUCUUACAAACAGUAACAAAAAGAAAUAAAUAGAAAGACCUCAGACCUCACUCAUGGAUUCAUUCACUACACGCCACCCACCAAAUUACCUCACGCUUCCCACAUGUCCCUCAUCUACACGCCACCUAUCACCUUGUCAUUCACGUUGACCAUACGUGACUCUCUCUCACCAAUACCCUUCAUUUAAGACACUCUCACAAAAUCACUCUUGGCUUUUCUGUCACCACUAGCUCACGAAAAAGGAAAAGGAAACAGAAACAAGAAAUUAAAAGCACUCCUCUUCUUCUUGAAAAAAGGCAUCCACCACACGCUCUCCUUCCCCUUCUAAUGGCCGCCGGCCAUCCAUAACAAAUGACAUUCGUCCGCAUCUCCGUUCUUUUUUAACCACAAUACAACCUCCACUGCGUUUUCCUCCAUAAACCGUUGACCGUGAGGCCACAGCUUCCACUCACCCAUCAUCUUCCUCCGCCUCACAACAACCUCACGAAGCACCCUUUAACACCACACAAAACUCCCUUUUCAACCGCCGUGAAUCGCCACCACUACCACUAUGUCGUCGCAUCAUCGCUUAACCACCGUCAAUUUUGAACCAUCCGCCGUCUUCCUCAUCUAUUCCGGCGAUAAAUUCCAAACCUCACCGCCGCGUCAAUAACCAAACUCCUUCACACUCAGGCGAAUCCACAUCUAUUCACCGACAUCGCUGCCGCCAUGGUUCGCUCUUCUAAAUUCACCACAACCAACCGCGACGCAAAUUCUCUCUUCCCCAACUGGCGAAACCAAGCAAUAAACCUUCCAACUCCGCAGCGACAAUAAACGACAGCAGUGACACCGCUUCGGUAAUAUCAAUUUCGUAUGCUUGUGGUGUUGUGAUUUUGAGAUUAACUCUGUUAUUACAUUAAAUUUUUAUUGAUUUCUGUUAUGUCAUAAACUGUUGCAAGUAUUAUAGAGUGUGGAAUUUUUGAGAUUGAUUCUAUUAGGUAGCGUUUUUUGAAUAUGACUAUGGCCUCAUUGUUUUCUACUGGUUUCCUAUUGUGUUCUAGUUUGUAAAUUGUCUUACCAAGGUGUUGUUGUAACCAACUUUAGAAGGCUUUUGUUAAUAUGAUAAUUUGAAUUGCUACUUGCAUUUGUCAUGUCCAGUUGGUUUUCUGUUUGGAGAAGUGGUUCUUAUGGGCAAGGCUUUUGUUUAUUGUUAUAUCCAAUAUUUUUUAAUGUUAUUCUCUUUACGUUCCACUAAUCGCAUCAUGUUGAUUUCAUAGACAUAUUAAACUUCAUAUUGAGUUGUAUUGAAGCAGUUUGGAAUUGAUUGCAAUGAAUUUGUUACAUGUUUAAUGCUAUUAUUUUCUUGCUGCGGGAUUAAAGUGGUUUAGCGUUACGGUAAUAGUUUGUGUUGCGUUUUCCUUGAUAUUACGUUGUUUGUUAUAGCCACUGUUUUGAUUUAGAUUUGGUUACAUUAAUCUAUGUUGAUUGUUGGUAUUAAAAUGUCGUAAUGUUCUUUUCCGGGGUAUUUUUGAUGUGAUUGUGUUGUUGUUGUUGCGUGUUGAAGUUGUUGCGUGUAAAAUCAAAUAUCAUUCGCAGCUUUAAUGCGUAAAAUGUUUCGAUUAUAUUUCUGUUUCAAUUACAUACUUACUUCAUUUCCAAUUCGGUUAUACUGUUUUGGGAAUUCGAUAUUGGUAUUGUAAUGUUGAAGAUAUUGUGUUACCGUAUUGUUGAUUGUGUAUCAGUUUGCGUAUUCGUAUUUGUUUCACUUACAGCUUUACGAACUCUUAAGUUGUUAUUGGUUAUGUCGUCCGUCUACUGGGAUUUAGUAUUCAAAAUGGGUGUAUAUGCGAUUGGUAGUACAUUUUGGGUGGCAAUUUGAUUUGAAGCUUUUGUUUUACUAUAUGUAUUUCACUUUGUGCUUCAAUUCAUGUGGUAUUUUAUCCUUAAGAGAGAAGCUUGUUUUCUUAUUAAAUAUUUCUAAACAUAUGCGUGAGAAUGGCAGGGAAAUGUUGUGUUCUAAAUAUUUAUUUAUUUUUGUUUCUAGUUAUGAAAGUGGGUGUUAGGUGUUAAUGGAUAUAUGGUGACUUAUUCGAAUUUUGACCAAACGUUAGAUUUUUUUAGAAUUAGUGUCCCCUAUCUUGAUUGCAUGAUUACUUCUAUUUUAUUUAUUUCAUUCAUUCAAUCUGGUAUUCAGAAAUAGUAUUUUGGACUACUUGGUAUUUGUCUACAAGUCCAUUACCAUGAACACCCACUUUUCGGUGUGUUAAAUUUUCUGUAUGAAUUGGGUCUUUAAAUCAAUAUUAACACAUAUUUUCAUUCUUUUAAUUAAAUUAAUUAAUCAAAUUGAAGUUUUUGCUUAAUUAGUUAAUUAAUUUUAAUUAACAUGAUUAUUUAACUUAAAUAAAUAAUUUUGAUAAUUAAUCUUAAUUAAUUUAAUUAAUCGACUCAAUCAAACUUUAAUUAAUUAAUUUUAUUAAUUAAAUAUUGAUUGAUUUAUUUCACUCCAAUUCAUUAUUGAUUCAAAACUAUUUUAAAACCACUAAAAUCACACAAUUCUUGAUUUAGCCUCAAGCUCAUUUCCAGAUGCAUUUGUAAGCCGAUCGCUUUUAAAGCAUCGCCAUCCAUCUCACAUAGCUUACUCUUGGGCUUUUUUACAAUGAGACCUAUUUGGUUGUUAAUCAAUCGAGUAGAUAAACAGUACACUAAGAUAAAAUUCAUUCCAUUCAUAUACACAAAUUUAAAACCUCGAUCCAACAUCGAGUAUUUUCAUUCAAAUUAAUUCAAAAUACCUAAGUCACAAUCGAAUACCAUUUCAUUUGGAAAUAAAAAGGGGGAUGGUUUUGAGUUUUCAAUUCCUCUCCUCGAUUAUUGAAUACGAGUUCUCUUACUCGGUUAGUCAAAUAGUCGUCACUUCUAUCCAUCUAAGCACAAUCAAACCGAAUCAUUUUUAUAAUAAGAAUGAAAAGGGAGAUGACUUUGAGUUUUCAACUUCUCUCCUCAAUUGUUUGAAUAUGAGUUCUCUUACUCGGUUAGUCAAAUCAUUGUCAUUUCUAAAUCGUCUAAAACCAAUUAAAUCAAUCUAUUCUCAUGACAACGAAAUGAAAAGGGAGAUGGUUUUAAGCCUUUAACUCUUCUCUUCGAUUGUUUGAAUACGAGUUUUUUUACUCGGUCAGUUAGACACUCGUCAUUUCUUUACAAACCUUAAACCAAGAUUAAAUCAAAUUAUUUUCAUAAUGAGCUAAAUGAAAAGGGAGAUGACUUUGAGUUUUCAACUUCUCUCCCCAAUUGUUUGAAUACGAACCUUAAACCAAGAUUAAAUCAAAUUAUUUUCAUAAUGAGCUAAAUGAAAAGGGAGAUGACUUUGAGUUUUCAACUUCUCUCCCCAAUUGUUUGAAUACGAGUUCUCUUACUCGGUCAGUCGAACAAUUGUCAUUUUUCCGCCGACUCCUACCGUAAGUCAAAUCAUUGUCAACCAAAACUAUACGAAAAGGGAAAUGGUCUUGAGUUUUCAAUUCCUCUUCUCAAAUGCUUGGAUAUGAGUUGUCUUAUUCAGCCAUUCGAGCACUUGUCGUUUAUUCUAAAAUACACCGACCAUACAUAAACUUAUUUUUAUAAUCACUUAGAUGAAAAAUAAAGUGGUCUAGAGUUUUCUAUUGCCUUUCCCGAUUAUUAGGGUACGAGUUGUCUUACUCGAUUAUCCGAGUAUUCGUCAUCCAGUCAAAACACAUUAAUUAUCAUUAAAAUCCUUUUUACAAUUAAGGAUGAAAAAGAAGGUGGUAUAGAGUCUUCUAUUCCCUUUCUCGACUAUUGGGAUACGAGUUGUCUUACUCGAAUAUCCGAUUAAUCGUCAUCCAACAAAAAUAUCUUAACACAUCAAAUAUAUAUCUGUCUCGCCUCGUGCGAUCAAAACCAAUCAAACAAAACUUUCAAAUAUAUUAAUCCAACUUGUCACCCUCGUGUGACCAAAACUCUCUUCAAAAAGAACACUGUUUAAUCCUUUCUAACGCGCACAACAAACUAGUGCUUAAGCCUCCGCCGAGAGUAGACAAGCCAACAUUUAGCCUUUAGAACGUGAUCUAAACAGUCGUUCAUUAAAAGACACCAACAAACCGUAGUACCCCGAACUACGAAAUGCUCUAAUUUCCUUAUUAUACCAUAAGGAUACGUAGGCAGGAGAUUGCUGUAUCUUCGCGAGCACACUAAUAAAAAACCUCCUCUUUCUCCUUUCUGAGGUUCUCAUCCAUUUCUCUUUUCAAUAUUUUAUAACCCAAAGAUAACAAACAAACAUAAAUUAACACUUAAAACACAAAUUAGAACUAAAAGGUUCCCGUUGAGUACAACGGGCGUAAGGGGUGCUAAUACCUUCCCCUUACGUAAUCCACUCCCGAACCCGAAUAUGGUUGCGACGACCAUUAUUCCAUUUCCUAAAAGUUUUUUCGAUAUUUUACUAUCCCUUCAUUGGGAUAAAUAAAGUUCGGUGGCGACUCUGUUCGAACACUAAUUUUUUCCGCGACCAUCGCGAGGAAUCGUAUUUUUCGAGAUACGAUAGAUGGCGACUCUGCUGGGGACUAGCUCCAAGCAAAAGAGAGUAUAGCCUAAUUUAGUUCAGUUUCUGUAUUGUGUGUUAAUCUUGUUUGUUUGUUCGUUAUUUAUUCUAUUAUUAUUAUGUUGUCAUAAUUAUUAUCUGGUGUUUUAUUGGCUAUGUAUUAUUGGGGUUCUCUGAUUGGUGAUACUUUGUGAGAUAGGCUCUCCACCCGAGUUUGAGAAAAACCAUAAGAUUAAGUUAGUGGUUGCAUAGUGGACGCCCACAAGGAGUCUUCCUUGUUGGGAAGAUAUGAAGACCCCACCUAGAGGAGAUUCUCUUGAGAUAUUAUUGCCCGACGAGUCUUCAUCACGACGAUAGUAUUCCCAAGUUGGAUCAAUGACUCUAGGGACCUUUUAACCCACUCUAUUCGGCGGUUAUGUAGUAGUAACUGUAAUACCCCAAAAUUUACCCUUCAUUUUUCCUGGAAGCAUGGGAUUAUGUUUUACACUUCAUUAGCAUCAUAUUAGGUCAUACUCAUUGCAUACUGCAUUAGUGACAUGGAGAUCAAGUUUUGAUCGAUCACUCCUUAACAUAAGGAGCCCACACAAAGCAAGAUUGAGAAUUGGACUUCAUUUUCUAAGUAUACAAGUCUCAAGGGUCACAGGGGGGUCCAAGUAUCUUAUUAUGGUCCUCAGUUCAUUAGUGAAGGAUUCAAAGCUAUCAGAGUGUUCAUCUGGAUUUAAUCAGAAAUUAGGGUUUCAUGGCUACCUGCAACAGGCAAUGUUUGGUUGGAAGUAGAGGAGCUCAUCCAUGUCAUGAUUAGAGAGGCAUCUUGGCCUAGGAAGAUUCACAAUUAUCUCAGAAAGAUCCAUUGGCAAUCAGUGCAAUCAGUUCCUGAUCAUUUUGCCCUAAAACUAGGGUUUGGUAUAAAAUCAGUUUAUUUCUGAUUCUUUGGGUGAAACUCUUUUCCAUGGCCCUCCAUAUGUCCACAAGGGUCUACAUACAAAAAAUCAGCUCUUUAUUUGAGCUAGAAGUGCUUCAAUUGAUCAAUGGAAUCGGGAAUCAGACAGUUUGGGAAAAGUCAACUNNNNNNNNNNNNNNNNNNNNNNNNNNNNNNNNNNNNNNNNNNNNNNNNNNNNNNNNNNNNNNNNNNNNNNNNNNNNNNNNNNNNNNNNNNNNNNNNNNNNNNNNNNNNNNNNNNNNNNNNNNNNNNNNNNNNNNNNNNNNNNNNNNNNNNNNNNNNNNNNNNNNNNNNNNNNNNNNNNNNNNNNNNNNNNNNNNNNNNNNNNNNNNNNNNNNNNNNNNNNNNNNNNNNNNNNNNNNNNNNNNNNNNNNNNNNNNNNNNNNNNNNNNNNNNNNNNNNNNNNNNNNNNNNNNNNNNNNNNNNNNNNNNNNNNNNNNNNNNNNNNNNNNNNNNNNNNNNNNNNNNNNNNNNNNNNNNNNNNNNNNNNNNNNNNNNNNNNNNNNNNNNNNNNNNNNNNNNNNNNNNNNNNNNNNNNNNNNNNNNNNNNNNNNNNNNNNNNNNNNNNNNNNNNNNNNNNNNNNNNNNNNNNNNNNNNNNNNNNNNNNNNNNNNNNNNNNNNNNNNNNNNNNNNNNNNNNNNNNNNNNNNNNNNNNNNNNNNNNNNNNNNNNNNNNNNNNNNNNNNNNNNNNNNNNNNNNNNNNNNNNNNNNNNNNNNNNNNNNNNNNNNNNNNNNNNNNNNNNNNNNNNNNNNNNNNNNNNNNNNNNNNNNNNNNNNNNNNNNNNNNNNNNNNNNNNNNNNNNNNNNNNNNNNNNNNNNNNNNNNNNNNNNNNNNNNNNNNNNNNNNNNNNNNNNNNNNNNNNNNNNNNNNNNNNNNNNNNNNNNNNNNNNNNNNNNNNNNNNNNNNNNNNNNNNNNNNNNNNNNNNNNNNNNNNNNNNNNNNNNNNNNNNNNNNNNNNNNNNNNNNNNNNNNNNNNNNNNNNNNNNNNNNNNNNNNNNNNNNNNNNNNNNNNNNNNNNNNNNNNNNNNNNNNNNNNNNNNNNNNNNNNNNNNNNNNNNNNNNNNNNNNNNNNNNNNNNNNNNNNNNNNNNNNNNNNNNNNNNNNNNNNNNNNNNNNNNNNNNNNNNNNNNNNNUCCUCUUGUUCUAAGCUUUCUAGAGAUAUAAAGUUUGCUCCAUUUGGAUUAGAAUUGAGAAAGUUAUGCUUAGUCAAAGUGAGACAUUUUUUUUUAUCCAAAAUCUUCAAAAUUUGUCAAGACUUCUUGGCCAGGUUUCUUGCACUUCAAGGUAUUAUUUGAAAAUACUUUCUUCACAACAAUUGUACCUUGCCAUGUCCUCUUUCACAUCCUUUUGGAAUCAUCUCAUUUGGAUCCAUGGUUUGAGAGAUACAUUCAUUUAAAGUGGGCACCAUGAUUUGAUUUCCUAGGCAGAUUUUGGGUCUGGCUGGCCCAAUCAGAUUUUCUAAGUAUGCUGCACAAACCAGUCACGUUUUUUAUCUCUUUUGGCCAUGCAUUGGCCAACAUUUACUUAAGUUCGUCCAUAAAAUUACCCAAAAAUAUUUUUAACUUUUCUUAACGUUUUAUUUAAUUUUAUAUAAUUUUAUUUUCGUAUUUUUUUAAUAUUAAUAUUUUAUUUUAAUUAUUUAUUCUAAAUGGUCCAUUUUAACACACUUUUUUUAUUGAUUUUAUUUUUAUGACUUAAAAUUAUUGUUAGCAUUUGAUUUUUCGGAUAAAGGUUGACCACUGUCUCAUGGUCAACCUGACCUUUUCUUGGAAUUUUAUUACGCAUUCUCAAUUUAUUUUGGAUUUAUUUUUGACCUAGUUUGGUUGGUUGACUUUUAAUUUGACUUCUGUUUUACUUUAAUUAAUUCACGUACCAAUUUUCAUUAUUUUUAAAAUCUUUUUAGGGUAUGAUGAUGUCCUGAACCCAUAUUAUUUAGUUUAAUUUUUCAUAAUUUUCUUGAUUAAAUUACUAUUUAUUCUUGAUUUAUUUCUAACCUAGUCUUAUAUAUUGACUUUUGGUUUGACCUAUGUUUUGUUUUAAUUAAUUCACGUGCCAAUUUUCAUUAUUUUUAAAAUCUUUUUGGGGGAUGAUGAUGUCCUUACCCCAACUUAUUUAGUUUAAUUUUUCAUAAUUUUCUUGAUUAAUUUUCUAUUUAUUUGUUAUUUUUUAAGUUGACUUGAAUGUUCAGUUGACUUCUUUAUGAUCGAUGUUUGACUUAGGGAUUGCUUAUGGAAAUUAAAGAGAUCUUUUGAUCCUCCCUUGUUCAUCUCAUAUGCCAUGUAUUAGAGGCCUUUUACCUUGAUUUUAUUUGGUCCUUACCUCAUUUCCUGAUUAAAUUAUUCAGUGGACCCUUCGUGUGUNNNNNNNNNNNNNNNNNNNNNNNNNNNNNNNNNNNNNNNNNNNNNNNNNNNNNNNNNNNNNNNNNNNNNNNNNNNNNNNNNNNNNNNNNNNNNNNNNNNNACAUCAGUAUGUAUGAGGGCCAAAAGAUCAUUAGCUCUUUCACCUUUUCCUGUGAAUGGAGAUUUUGUCAUUUUCCAAGUACUUUGGGCAGUUUCUCUUUCAGUGUCCGGUCUUACCGCAAUGGAAGUAGGUGCCUGCCUUUGCUAUGCCUCCACUAGGCUUCAAAGUAGCAACAGUGGGUCUGGGUUUGGCAACUUCCUUGCCCUUCCCUUUAUCACCCUGCUUGGUGGGCCUUUUGUUCCGUCUCUUUCAUUUCUGAUCAUCAUAAUGGACUUCCCCUUUUAUCUUCAGAUUCUGCUAAGCAGUUCUUAACAUGGCUAGCAGUUCAUGAAGAGAUUUGUCCAUAUCAUUCAUAUUGAAAUUUAGGACAAAUUGACUAAAUCCAUCUGGCAACGAUUGCAGGAUCAAAUCAGUCGCAAGUUCCUUUCCGAGGGGAAAACCCAAUCUCUCAAGGUUUUCCACAUACCCAAUCAUCUUGAGCACAUGGGGACCUACAGGGGCUCCCUCAGCUAACUUGCCUUGAAAAAGGGAUUUUGAAACUUCAAACCUCUCAUGCCUUGCUUGCUCUUGAUAGAGCAUCUUCAGGUGUUCGAUCAUAUCGAACGCUGUCAUGUUCUCAUUUUGCUUUUGCAACUCUGAGUUCAUGACAUCCAGCAUGAGACAAGAAGUUUCAUUGGCAUCAUCGACAUGCUUCUUAUAAGCAUCUCUUUCUGCCUUAGGUGCAGAACUAGGAGGUUCCUCUUCAGGAACAGGUGUCUCUAAGACAUACAACUUUCUAUUAUGGUUGAGGACAAUCCUCAGGUUUCGGUGCCAAUCCAGAAAAUUUGUCCCAAACAAUUUUUCUUUGUCAAGGAUUGAUCGCAAAAUGUUUGUUAGAGGUGUUUGUUGUUAUGGUAAUCUACAUAAGGAUUAAUGAAAAUAUAAGUAUCAUUGACAUAUUUAAUUAGGCCUUUAAUUAUAUAUGCUCCCACUAUUUUACUCAAAACAAAUGACCCUCAUCAUUUGAUUCGGAAAAUCCCGUUGGAAGACUUUCUAGUGGGUCGAGAUCCAUAUUUCACUUCGUUCUAAGUCCGCGUAGGCAGAUUACACAAAACUAGGUUAUUUAGGUAGGAACUCCUUCCAAUUGUAUCUCAUACAACUCUCGAAAAUUUCAGUUGGGUGAAUAACUCCUUAUUCCAAUCCAUCAUAUGGAUCAUUCCCAACUCUUGCUUCUAAACAUAUAUAUAAUAUUAUCAUAAUUUGUUUAGUUAAGUUUGACCCAUUGUUUUAACAGUUGGAUAUUACAAUUAUCCCAUCGCACCUUACUAAUAUAUAGAUCAUGCACCUCGCGUAGGCGAAACCUACAUUAUCCAUUACUAGUCUUGAUGAGUGUUAAAACUUGGAAAGCAUAAACUUAAUAUUUAAUUUGAGGGAAUUUGCAAUUAUUCUGAUCUCACCGGCUUAUUUAUCAUAUAAAUCGUCUCUCACAUGCAUCAACAUACAUUCACAUGCAUCAACAUACAUACAUACAUAAUGAAACAGUUAUGGCCCCUAGCGCAAUUGUUCUCCCAAGCCAAUGAGAGAACCUAAGCUAACCUAAUAACGAUCUAAGCUUCUCCAAGCAAGAUCUUCAAGGUUGUCCUCCUUUGGCACUGACUUCUUUGCUUUUCUCAUAACAUUACAUUACAUAAAGAAACUCGUUUUACAUACGAGGGAGUGAGAUGAGAAAAGAAGUUACAUUGAGAGAUUAAAAGAGAGGCACGACACGCAAGUCGUAUUUUAAAACCCAAAACAAAAUAAAGGAAAACUAAGGCCAUAACCGAUCACCACAAGACAAUAAUAAACACAUUAUUAUUAUUAAUUCUUUUAAUUAAUUAAAACCAAAUUAAAUCUCGACGACCGAUCAUAUUACGCAGAGUUAGCCGAACGGGUGAUUUUUGCCUUACGUUAACCGGUUAACCAUAUGCGUUAAUCGGUUAACACUGUUUGAAAAUCUGUUCAUAAUUUGUAUUCUGUUUUGCGUUAACCGGUUAACCAAAUACGUUAACCGGUUAACACUGUUGAAAAACUGUUAGAAAGUUGUAUUCCGUUUCGUGUUAACCGGUUAACCAUAUACGUUAACUGGUUAACACUGUUUGAAAAUCUUUUAGAAAACAGUAUUCCGUCUUGCGUUAACCGGUUAACCAUAUGCGUUAACCGGUUAACACUAUACGAAAAUUUGUUAGAAAGCACAACUCUUGUGCAGUCACAACCCCAAUCGCAUAACUCUCUGACAACACAACCCUUGUGCCGUCACUAACCCUGAUGCACCAAUUUCAGACCGUCAAACACAUCUCGUUUGUUGAUUCAGUAUGAUUUAUCAACACGUCAUUGCUUCAUCAUACUAAUGUCGGAUCAAGAAGCAAACGACCAUUGAUCGCUCAAAGGAAAACAAUCAUUAAGUGUUUGAAUGAAUGAAACAGGAACACUAUAUCAUAUAUAAUGUAUUUUGCAUCAGGAUUACUUAUAUCAUAUAUAUAACUUGCUCGAUCUCAAUUUAAUCUUUGAUUCAUUCUGUCUUUAAUCGUAUUAAUACAGAAAAUAAACAGUUAUCAGAUUCAUGGUUUCGUAAGUGGCUCUGAUACCACUGAAGGAGAAUGGCGAUCCAAAAUGCAGCAGAAUUUAAAAUUUUCUCCUUUAAUGAUCCUUACAAAUGGGCAUGAUCAGUGAUAGAAUCGUUACCUCUUGUGGUGAUCACGAACGUUGAACGAUGACAACGCCUCUACUCAGUCCACACGAACGGAUUCCUUCAAUCUCAGUGCUAGCUGCUACGAAUGAAGGCUUUGAGUGAGAGAGAGAGAGAGAGAGAGAAACGAAAUUGCAAGUCUUCUGAAUGCUUCUGCACAAGGGUUCUAUUUAUAGAACCACUUGUGUGGGCUUCAAGCUAAAAAGCCCACUUAAUUGUAUUCUGGCCCAUAUCUUAUAAUAUGCCCAAAAUCACUUAAGCGUGUGGUACCUUACCAUAUUUUGUAUUCCACUUAAGUGCACCGUACCUUACGGUGUUCCUUAUUUACUCUAUCUUUCAUCAAUCCGUCCUUUGUGUGUGACCCUGUUGGUUUUCGCGACGUUGGCAAUUAUAUUAAAUCACGCAUUUAACAUGAUAAACAGUGAGCAGUAUCUAGCAACACAUCACUGUUACCCAAGAUACGUAAAUGUCAUAUGAUCUGACAAAUCCUUUUGUGAUAAUACUUAUGUGUAUAAUUACCCUUUUCCCUCUAUGUCUAUAUUGAACACAAGGCAUAGACUGUGUCAUCCUUGUCCAAUUCAAUAUUGGGCCUAUAGACAUUUAUCCUGUUACGCAGGAUGGGAAAAUUCCAUCUAGGUCACUCAUGUCCCUUAGCAUGCUUUGUGGAGUACCCAUCAACUGUCUUUAUGGUUAUCCAGUUACGGACAAUGUUGGAUCAGCAAUAAAGCACUCGACUCUACAUCUAGGGUCCAUAGUGGUUUCAGGUCGAAGAGUGGUAUACACCAUUAUCACCAUGAGAAUAACUUAUGACACUUUGCAUAACAUUCUAUAUAGUAUUCUCAUAGCGGGUCAAUCCAGUAUAAAUAUUACUCUUAAUAUUCAUACCUAUGUUUAAGACUUGAUAACUCCUUAUCCAUGAUCCAUGAGAUGUGAUCAUCAGUCUAUAUACAUAAUAGUCUUAAUGCUUUAAUGUUAUCCCACUUCACAAUAAAGCUCGACUACGGAUACUUUAAGAAUAGUGUCCUUAUGUUUAAUGUGAUCUCAUGAUUAAGUCACACUUGAUACAUUAAACGGACUAGCUAUUCUAGGGACUUUAUUAAACAAACAUAAUAAAGAAAAAGCCUUUUAUUAUUAAUAAAUAAUUCGAUACAAGUACCAAAAGUAUUGGCCUCUAGGGCUUACACCAACAAUCUCCCACUAGCACUAGAGCCAAUCAGGCAUACCCCUAAUGCCCAUAGAUCUAGUAUGGCCAUCAUGCUUCUGCUGCGCAAGAGGCUUUGUCAGUGGGUCAGCAAUAUUGUCAAGUGUAGGUACUCUGCAUAUUUUCACAUCUCCUCUAUCUAUUAUCUCUCGAAUGAGGUGAUAACGCCUAAGUAUGUGUUUGGAUCGUUGGUGAGAUCUAGGCUCCUUAGCUUGUGCGAUAGCACCAUUGUUAUCACAAUAGAGACCAAUGGGAUCCACAAUGCUAGGAACUAUGCCAAGUUCACUAAUGAACUUUUUGAUCCAAACAGCUUCCUUUGCUGCACUUGAGGCAGCAAUAUACUCGGCCUCGGUUGUAGAAUCAGCAACUGUAUCUUGCUUUGAACUUUUCCAGCUCACAGCGCCACCGUUUAAGCAAAACACAUAACCAGAUUGCGAUCUAAAGUCAUCCUUAUCUGUCUGGAAGCUAGCAUCGGUGUAUCCAAUUACAGCCAACUCUUCCUGACCUCCAUAUAUCAAGAAUGAGUCCUUAGUCCUUCUCAAAUACUUAAGGAUAUUCUUGACAGCUACCCAAUGAGCAUCACCAGGAUCAGAUUGGUACCUACUCGUUGCACUUAAAGCAUACGAGACAUCUGGUCGAGUACAUAACAUGGCAUACAUGAUAGAUCCUAUUGCAGAUGCAUAUGGAAUCUUAUUCAUGCGAUCCCUUUCUUCCUUAGUUGAAGGGGAUUGUGUUUUUGAUAGACACAGGCCAUGUUGCAUAGGUAUGAAUCCUUUCUUGGAAUCAUGCAUAUUAAAGCGUCUCAACACUUUGUCUAUGUAUGUACUCUGACUUAGGCCAAGCAGUUUUUGUGAUCUAUCUCUAUAGAUUCUGAUUCCUAAUAUAUAGGCUGCUUCACCUAGGUCCUUCAUAGAAAAGCAUUUCCCCAACCAAGACUUUACUUGUUGUAGGGUAGGGAUAUCGUUUCCAAUGAGUAAUAUGUCAUCUACAUAUAAUACCAGGAAAACGAUCAUGCUCCCACUAACCUUCUUGUAGACACAAGGCUCAUCUUCGUUCUUGAUGAAUCCAUAUUGUUUUACUGUUUCAUCAAAACGAAGAUUCCAGCUUCUGGAAGCUUGCUUCAAUCCAUAGAUUGAUCUUUGUAACUUACAUAUCUUUUGGGCUUCCUCUGGUAUGUCAAAUCCUUCAGGCUGUGUCAUGUACACAUCCUCAAGAAGAUUUCCAUUAAGGAAAGCAGUUUUGACAUCCAUCUGCCAUAUUUCAUAAUCAUGAUAUGCAGCGAUAGCAAGUAAAAUCCGAACAGAUUUAAGCAUUGCAACUGGUGAAAAGGUUUCAUCAUAGUCAACCCCAUGAAUUUGUUUAUAUCCUUUUGCAACCAGUCUUUCCUUAUAGGUAUGUACCUUACCAUCCAUGUCAGUCUUCUUUUUGAAGACCCACUUGCAUCAUAUAGGGUUAACUCCUACAGGAGGCUAUACCAAGGUCCAAACAUGGUUUGUGUACAUGGAAUCCAUUUCAGAUUUCAUGGCUUCUAGCCACUUCUCAGACUCGGGACUAGUUAUGGCCUCUUGGUAGGUCACAGGCUCAUCUUUAUCCAUGAGUAAUACAUCACCUUGAUCUGUUAUGAGAUAUCCAUAUCUCUCAGGUAGGUGAUGUAUCCUGCUUGACCUACGCUGGUCUUGUUCUACUUGAGCAGGCUGCUCUUCCACAACUACUUGUGUUUCCUUCUCUAAUUCCUCCAUAGGUGUAUCGAUGCUUUGUGAUUCUUGAAUUUAUUCAAGCUCUACUUUCCUCCCACUGAUUCCUUUGGAAAUAAAAUCCUUUUCUAGGAAAACUCCAGUUCGAGCGACAAACUCUACUUUGCUCUUCUGAUAGGAAUUGUAGAAGUAAUAACCUCUUGUUUCUUUAGGAUACCCCAAAAUAAGCAUUUGUCAGAUUUGGGUCAAAUAGCUUAGUGUGAAAAUUUUGUUGUUUUCACAUAAACUUCGCAAACCCCAAAAUCUUCAUGUUAAGACAUAUCGUGGUUUCUACAUCUUCAUAUCUCAUAUGGUGUCUUUUCACAAACCUUUUUUGGAUGGAACACAGUUAAGUGUGUAAGUUGCUUUGUCAAUUAGUGCAGUUGUCCUAAAAGGAGUUUGGAAGAUCGGCGUGACUUCAUCAGGAUCGGACCAUAUACAUACAUGGGUUUCGAUUCUUCUCUCAGAUACACUCAUUUCAUGGGUGUGUUCCAGGAGGAGUAUAGUUGUGGAGAUAGGAUCUCCACACUCUUUCAGAUGGUCACAACUCUAGGCUUAAAAUAUUCACCGACCUUUCGAUUGAUCGAAGAGUUUUAAUAUUCUUACCCCAGUUGUUUUGUACUCAUUCUUGAAUUUUUUCCCCCUUGAACUUUUCAAAAGGACUCUGAUUUGUGUUUUCAUUAAAUUACACAUAAACCAUAUCUUACUGAAAUGAUCAAUCAGUAAAUGUUGAUGAAGUACUGAAAAACCUCCUCUGGCUGGUAAUGUUCAUUGUGGUCCACAUACCAUGCAGUAUGUAUGAAAGGGCCAAAAGAUCAUUAGCUCUUUCACUUUUCUGUGAAUGGAGAUUUUGUCAUUUUCAAGUACUUUGGCAGUUUCUCUUUCAGUGUCCGUCUUACGCAAUGGAAUAGUGCCUUGCCCUUUGCUUAUGCUCCACUAGCUCAAAGUAGCAACAGUUUGGGUCUGGGUUUGGUCAACAUUCCUUGCGCCUUUUGCUCCCUUUAUCACUUCACUGCUUGGUGGGUACCUUUGUUCCCGUCUCUUUUCAUUCUGAUCAUGCAUAAUGGACCCUUUCCCCCUUUAUCUUCAGCAUUUGCUAAAGGGCAGUUCUUUAACAUGGCUAAGCAUUCAAAUGGAAGAGAUUUGUCCCAUAUCAUCAUAUUUUGAAAUUUAGGACAAAUUGACUAAUUCCAUCUGGCAAAGAUUGCAAGGAAUCAAAUCAGUCCGCCAGGUUCCCCUUUCCCGAGGGGAAAACCAAUCUCUCAGGUUUUUCCCCACAUACCCAAUCACUUUGAGCACAUGGGGACCCUAACAGGGGCUCCCUCAGCUUAACUUGCCUUGAAAAAAGGGGAUUUUGAAAAAUUCAAACCUCUCAUGCCAUUGCUUGCUCUUUAUAGAGCAUCUUCAGGUGUUGAUCAUAUCGAACGCUGUUUUCAUUGUUCUUAUUUUUGCUUUUGCAACUCUAGAGUUUCAUGACACCCAGCAUGAGACAAAGAAGUUUCAUUGGCUAUCAAUCGACCAUGCUUUUUCUUAUAAGCAUCUCUUUCUGCCUUAGGUUGCAGAAACUAGAGGUUCCUCUUCCAGGAACAGGUUGUCUCUAAAGACAUAUCAACUUUUCUAUUAGUGGUUUGAGACAAAUCCUCAGGUUUCGGUUGCUCCAUAUCCAGAAAUAUUUUUGUGUGUCCCAAUACAUGUUUCGUUUUGUCAAGGAAUGAAUCGCAAAAGUGUUUGUUAGAGGUGUUUGGUUUGUUAUGGUAAUCUGACAUAUAGGAUUUAAUGAAAUAUAUACAGUUAUCAUGAUCUAUUUUAAUUAGGUUUCCUUUAAAUUAUAUUCUUCCCCACUAUUUUACUCAAAAACAAAUUGAACCCCUUCAAUCAUUUUGAUUCGGAAAAUCCCCGUUGGAAGACCUUUUCAGUGGGUCGAAGCUCCAUAUUUCAACUGGUUUCUCGUCUAAUCUUCGCUGUAGGCAGAUUUUACAAAUACUAGGUUUAUUUUUAAGGUAGAACUCCUUCAAUUUGUAUUCUCAUACAACUCUUCGAAGAAUUCUAGUUGGGUGAAUAAACUCCUUAUCAAUCCAUCAAUAGGAUCAUUCCCAACUCUUGCUUCUAAAUCAUAUAUAAUUUUAAUAGAUUAAGUUUGACGCCGUGUUUUUUAGCAGUUGUAUAUUACAAUUAUCAAUCGCAUCUUUACUAAUAUAGAACAUGGCACCCCUCGCGUGGCGAAACCUUACAUUAAUCGAUUUUACUUAAGUCCUUGAUUGAGUGGCUAAAACUUGGAAAGCAAACAUAUAUAAUAUUUAUUAUAUUUGUUUUAGUUGUUUUGACGCCAUUUGUUUCUUUAGCAGUUGGAUAUACAAUUAUGCCAUCGUAACCGUUCUAAUGAUAGAACAUGGCACCUCGCGAGGCGAACCUCAUUAUCCGAUACUUAGUCCUUGAUGAGUGCUAACAAACUUGAAAGCAUAAUCUUAAUUAUUUAUUUUGAGGAUAUUUGCAGUUAUUCUGAUCUUCAACGGCUUAUUUAUCAUAUAAAUCGUCUCUCAAUACAUGCAUUCCAACAUACAUACAUAUGCAUCAACAUAACAUAAUAUAAUUGAAACAAGUUUGGCCCCCUAGCGCAAUUUGGUUCUUCACCAAGCCAUGAGAGAAACCUAAGCUAAACCUAAUAAGAUCUAAGCUUCUCCAAGCAAGAUCUUCAAGGUUGUCCUCUGCCCUUUGGCAACCGUGGACUUCUUUGUCUUUCUUUCAUAACAUUACAUUACACAAUAGAAACUCAUCUUUACAUACCGAGGGAGUGAAGAAUGAGAAAAAAUUACAUUGUAGAGAUUAAAAGAGAGAGGCUUAUCGACAUUCGCUAGGUUCCGUAUUUUAAAACCAAAACAAAUAAAGGAAAACUAAGGCAUAAAACGAUCACCACAAAGACCAAUAAUGAACACUUUUUUUUUUUUUAGGGUGCUUUAUUUUUGUGUAGGGUGGUUUUUUUUUUUUUUUUUUUUUUUGUUUUUUUUUUUUUUUUUUUUUUUUUUUUUUUUUUGUUUUUUAUUUUUUUUUUUUUUUUUUUUUUUUUUUUCUUUUUUUGUUUUUUUUUGUUUUGUUUUUUUUGUUUCAGUUUUUUUUUUUUUUUGGUUUUUUUUGUUUUGUUGUUUUUUUGUUUUGUUGUUUUUUUUGUUGUUUGUUUUUAUUUUUUUUGUUUUGUUUUUUGUUUUUUGCAGUUUGUUUUUCUUUUUUUGUUGUUUUUUUUGUUUUUUUUUGUUUUUGGUUUUUUUUUUUUGUUUUUGUUUUUUCUUUUUUUUUUUUUUUUUUUUUUUUUUUUUUUUUUUUUUUUUGUUUUUUUUGUUUUAUUUUUUUUUUUUUUUUUUUUUUUAUUUUUUUGUGUUUUUUUGUUGUUUUGUCGUGUUUGUGUGUAUUUUUUUUUUUUUUUUUUUUUUUUUUUUUAUGAAAUGUUUUUUGUUUUUUUGUGUUGUUUAUUGUUGUAUUAUGUAAUUGAUCAUAUGUUUAAUUCUUUUUUUUUAUUAAUUAAACCAAAUUAAAUCUCUUGACGACCGAUCACAUUACGCAGAGUUAGCGAUUACGGGUGGCCUUAUUUUGCCUUGCGUAACUUUCGGUUAAUCCAUAUGGCGUUAAACCGGUUGUAACACUGUUUUUGAAAAUCCUGUUCAUGAAUUUGUAUUUCAAUUUUGCGUUACAUGGUUAACCAAUUAACGUUAACUCGGUAUACACUGUUUGAAUAAAAUCUUUUAGAAAACAGUAUUCCGUCCCUUGCGUUAAUUCGUUAACCAUUACCGUUAACCGGUUAAACACUGUUUGAAAUCUUUUGAAAACAGUAUUCCGUCUUGCGUUAACCGGUUAAAUCCAUAUGCGUUAACCGUUAACUACUGUACCGAAAUUUGUUCAGAAAGUCACAACUCUUUGUGCAGUCACAUUCCCCAAUGAUAAUCUCCUCUUGACAACAACAUUACCCUUGGUGCGUCAUAAACCAUGAUGCAUCUCCAAGUCAGACCGUCAAAACACAUCUCGUUUGUUUGAGUUCAGUAUGAUUAUCAACACGUUUCAUUUUGCUUCAUCAUACUAAUGUCGGAUCAAGAUAGCACGACAUUGAUUCGCCAUAGGAAAACAUAUUCAUUAAGUGGUUUGAAUGAAUGAAACAGGAACACUAUAUCAUAUUAUUAUGUAUUUGGCAUCAGGAUUACUUAAUAUCAUAUAUGUAACUUGCUCGGAUGUCAUAUUAAUCUUUGAUUUCAAUUCUGUUCCCUUUUAUUAUUCGUAUUAUUACAGAAAUAAACAGUUUAAUCAGAUUUCCAGGUUGAGUGGCUUCUUGAUACCAUUCGAAGGUAGAUGGCGAUCCCAAAAAGCAGGCAGAAUUUAAUUUUCUCCUUUAGUGAUCUUACAAAUGGGCAUGAUCAGGUGAAUAGUAAUCGUUACUCUUGUGGUGAUUCACGAACGUUGAACUGACAACCCUGCUACCGCAGUCCCACACGGAUACGUGAUUUUCAAUCUCAAGUGCUAGCUGUCUACGAAUGAAGGUUUUGAGUGCGAGAGAGAGAUGGAGCGAGAGAUUGAGAACGAAAUUGGCAAACGUCUUUCCUGUAAUGUCUCUUUCCUGCACGGGUUUCUAUUUAUAGAACCAGGUUGUGUGGGCCUUCAAGCUAAAGCCCUUACUUAAUUUGUAUUUCUGGCUCCAUAUCUUAUAAAUAGCCAAAAUCACUUAAUGCGGUGUGGUUACCGAUUUACCAUAUUUUGUAUCCCUAAGUUGCAACACGUACUACGGUGUUUCGCUUUAUUUACUGCUAUCUUUCAUCAAUCCGUCCUUUGUGUUGGUGACCCUGUAUGGUUUUCAGCGACGUUGGCAAUUAUAGUUAAUCACUGCAUUUUUAACAUAUAUACAGUGUGCAGUUAUCUAUGCAACACAUCACUGUUAGCCUGCCAAAUACGUAACAUGUCCAAUAGUGAUCUGACAAAGUCUUUGUGUAAAUACUAUGUGUAUAAUUAUCCCUUUUCCCUCUAUGUCCUUAUAUGAACACAAGGCAUCGACUGUUGUUCAUGCCUUGUCCAAUCAAUAUGGGCCUAUAAUGACAUUUAUUCCUGUUACGCCAGAAUGGGAUAAAUUUCCAUCUAGGUCCACCUCAUGUCCCUUGCAGUUUUGGACCCAUGACUGUCUUUAUGGUUAUCCCAGUUAACGGACAUGUGUUGGAUUCAGGCAAUAAGUAACAUCGACUCAUACAUCUAGGUCCUAGUGGUUUUCAGUCCGAUUAGAGUGGUAAUAUCACCAUUAUCUUACCAUGAGAAUCUUAUGACACUUUGCAUAACAUUCGAUAUAGUUAAUCUCAUUAGCUGGGUCAUCCAGUAUAGAAAUUACUCUUAAAUAUUCCAUACGUAUGUUUGAUAAGACUUGAUAACUCCUUAUGCCAUGAUUCCAUGAGAUGUGAUCAUCAGUUCUAUAAACAUAAUAGUCUCCAUGCUUUAAUAUUAUCCCCUUCACAAUAUUCUCGACUAGGAUACUUUUAAGCCAUAGUUGCUUUAUGUUUUGAAUGGUUGCCUCUUCAUGAUAGUCACAUUCUUGAUACAUAAAUCUGACUAUCUAUUCAGGGUAGUUAUUAAACAACAAUAUAUUAAUAAUGACAAGCUCUUUAUUAUUAAUACCUAUUAUUCGAUUACAUAUACCAUAAGUAUUUGUGCCUCUAGGGCUUUAAUCCAACAAUUCUGCUCACUGGCAACUGAGAGCAAUCUAGGUGCAUACCCCUAAUUGCCCAUAGAUCUUAGUAUGUGCCACAUGGCUUCUGCCUUUGCGCAGAGAGGCUUUGUCAGUGGUCUCCAGCAAUAUUGUGUCAAGUGUAGGUAUCUCUACUAUUUUCACCAUCUCCUCUAUCUAUUAUCUCUGAAUGGGUGAUAACGCUAAGUUAUGUUGAUUGGAUCAUUGGUGAGAUCCGUAGGCCCUAGCUUGUGCGAUAAGCAACCAUUUUGUUAUCAAUAGAGACUAAUGGGAUCCAUCAAAUGCUAGGACUAUUGUCAAGGUUCACUAAUGAAGCUUUUUGAUCCAAACCAGCUCCUUUGCUGCCUUGAGGCAACAAUAUACUCGGCCCUCGGUUUGUAGAAUUAGCCAACUGUACUUUGCUUUGAAGCCUUUUUCCAGCUCACAGAGCCACCGUUGUUAAGCAAAACACAUAACCAGAUUGCGAUCUAAAGUCCUCCUUAUUUGUUCCCUGGAAGUUUCGCAUCGGUUGUUAAUCUCAAUUACCAGCCAACCUCUUUCCUGGACCUCAUAUAUCAGCAUGAGUCAGAGUUCUCUCAAGUACUUAAACGGAUAUUCUUGAACAGCCUACCGAACUGGGCAUCACCAGGAUCAGAUAUGGUACCCCUUACUCGUUGCACUUCAUAGAGUACCGAGACAUAUGGCCGCGCAGUAUCAUCACACAUUGGCAACCUCUAGAACAUGACAUAAGAGUCCCUAUUCGUCUAUGAUCGACAUAUCGGAUAUCCUAUUGUCAUUACUUUCGCGCUGAUUUUACCUUCUUCUUUCAGGUGAAGCGGGAAAUUAGUUGUUUUUUGCAUAGACACCAUCUGCCUUCAUGUUUGCAUUUUAGAGUAUCGCACUUCCCUUUGCCCCUUGGAACUCACUAUAUUGCAGGUGUUCUACAUCCGCGUCUGCAGCAUAAUCUCUUAGUCUAUUGCACGUACUGCUUACUAUAGCCUGAAGGGCAGUUUUUUGUUGAUAUAUCUCUAUAGGUAUUUUCUGAUUCUAAUCAUACACAUCUGCUUAGGCUGCUUUCCCCUAAGUUGGUCAUAUCAUAACCACAGGGCACAUUUCUCCCACCACCUAGGACUUUACUUGUUGCAGGGUAGGGAAAACAUCGGUUUCUUCACUAAUUGAGUAACAUCCAAUGUCUAUCUAAAUACUAGAUUCAGGGUAACUAUCAACUCAAGCCGUCCCAAUAACUGCAUCUGUAGACACAACGGCUUCCAUACUUCGUUCUUGAUGAUUCAUAAUGUUAUUAUAGUCUUUCAUCCAAAACCGCAAGAUUUCCAGCUUCUGUGUAUAUGCUUGCUUCACCAUUCGCAUGAUAUCGACGCCUUUUGUAACUACAUAUGCUUCUUGGGCUUCUUCAUGGUCAUUAUGCGGCAGAAAUCCACCGGUUCAGGUUGUGCUCCAAUUGUAUUCACUCUCAAUGAAGACUGUCCCAUUUAAUGAGAAGCAGUUUUGACAUCCAUCCGGGCUACUCGCCUCACUACUUUCGUGGUUAUCAUAAUCAUGAUUUACUACCAGCGCUGGCGCAAAGUAAACAUCCCGAACAGAUUUUUAAGCAUCUGCCCUAACUGGGCACUUGUCUUCUGGUCUUGGUGAAAGCGCGUUUCUCCUAUCACAUAGUCACAUUGGCUCACGCCAAGAAAUUUGUUUAUAUCUCUCUCCUGCAUUACCCAGCCCCCUUCCCUCUUAUACGGUAUGUACCGCUUUGCACCAUUCCAUGGUUCAGUCCGUUCCUUUUUGAAGCCCACUUGCAUCAUAUGGGUUACGAGCUUACUCUACAGGAGGCCCUACUACUAUAGGUCCAACAGGUUUGGUGCCUUCACAUGGGAAUUCGCCAAUUACUCCUACCGAUUGUCAGUGGCUUCUAGCACUUCUUCAGAAUUCCUCGGGACCACUGAGUUUCGUACGGUGCUCUUGGCGCUGCAGGUCCACAGCCCUUUCAUCUUAUCCAUUGAGUUUAUACAUGUCAUGAUCCACGCUUCUGGCUGGUCGUUGAUCCCUCUGUAUGUUUGAGAUAUCCAUGCUAUCCUCUUCAGGUAGGUUUGAUGUUAUCCUGCUCGGUGUGCACACUAUCGCUGGUACGGUUGUCCUCUACUUGAAGCUAGGCCCUCUCUCCAACAAUUCUACUAAUGUGUGUUUUAUCUCUAAUUCUCAUAGGUGUAUCGAGGCUCUUUGUGAUUUCCUUUGAAUUCAUAUUCUAAGAGCUGCUCUUACUUUCUCCCGGAUACUGUGGUGGAUAUAUAAUCCUUUUUUCUCUAGGGAAUAAGGUCUUGCUCCAAGUUGUCCGUAGCUGGGACACCAAUCUCCUUUAUUCCUCUUCCUGCAGGGAUGAAUUGUAAUGUACGUACCAGGUACCCCUUGGUUGUUUUCACAUUUAGGAUACCAAUAUAGGCGAUUGGUGUUUAUCAUUUAGCUCCUCAAGCUGAGUUGAAUAUUAGUCCGUUUCCAACAUAAACUUCCGCACCACAAGUCUUUCCAUGUACGACAUUGUUGGUUUUCCUUACACCCGUCAUAUUCUUCAUAUCGCUGGUUCACUUUUCAACCUUUUUGGAUGGCAACAGGUUACAAAAGGUGUGUAUUAGAUUGCUUUGUCCCAAAUAGUGCAUGUCCACUCGCGAAUAGGAGUUCUUUGCGAGAGAUUUUGGCGUGACCUCAUCAUGGAUCGGAACCAUGUCCAACAGGUUCGAUUCUUUCUCUCAGAUACACCAUUCUAACUCUUUUCCAUGGGGUGUUCAUUGGACGAGUAAGUUGGUAAUAGGAUUCACACUCUUUCAGAAUGGUCAAUUCAACGGUCUAGCGCUUUAACAGUGUACUUCACUCCACCUUUGAUCCGUGAUCGAUUUCGAUGUUAUUAAUGGUUUCUUACCUUCAGUUGGUUUUUUGUACUUUCAUCUUUCUUGAUCCCAGUGUUGGAAUCACUUUUCAAAGACUCUGUAAUUUGGUCUGAAUUGCAUUAAAUACAACACUAACGCAUAUAUCUACCUGAUACUCAUCCAGUGAAAAUUGUGAGUGAAGUUAAGCGCAGACUCCUCUGGCUGGUGAUGCCUCUCUAGUGGUUCCUUCAAUAGACGAUCAGGUUAUGUAAUGCAGCGGCCCUAAAAGUCAUUGUAGCUCUUCCUAUCCUUUUUUCUGUGAUUAUGGAGAAUUUUUUAGUCAUUCCAAGUGACUUACCUAGCCUCCCUUUUUCGGCAGUUCGGGCAGUUAUCUCUUCUCAGUGUUCCGGUCUUACCGCAACAAUGGAACAGGUGGCCUGCCUGUUCUGGCUAUGCUCUCCCACUCGGCAUUAAAUGCAGCAACACAUGGGUCCUGGGUUUUUGGCAACUUCCUUAGCCCUUCCUUCUAUCACGAUGCUCUACUGCUCUGGCAGGCAUCUCUCGCGUUAUUCUUGUUCUCUUUCAUUUCUUGAUCAUCCACUUGACCACUUCCGCCUUGGUCUUUCAAGAUCUCUUUCCUUCAGCAGUUCUUUAACAUUGGCUAGCCCAUGUUCAUCGAAUGAAGAUUUUGUCCAUCCUAGGUCACUACUCACACUAUAAUGAUUAUCUUAGGCACAAAUUCGACCUAAAAUACAUCUGCACAACGUAUCUGCAAGGAUCAAAAUACUCAGAUUUCGCCCAAGUUCUCCUUUUCGAGGGGAAAGAACACACCAAUAUCUCUCAAGGUUUUUCCACAUACCCGAACCUUACCCCUGCCUCAUCCCUUGAGCACAUCGGGGACCCUACAGGCGGCUCACAGUCUCAUGAACGUGCGCCCUUGAAAGCAGGGAGUUUUUGUACAACUGUCUCGGGUCUGCUUCACAAUGACCUCUCAACAUCGCAUGGUUGCCUUUUUGCUGGCUUGAUAGAUUGGCACAUACUUCAGUGUUUCGCACUUUCAUAUCGAACGCUGUCCCAUUGUUCUUGUCCAAGAUUUUGUCGUCUUCUUGCAUCUUCUGUAUGUUCAUGACAAUCCCCGACAUGAGACAAGAAGUUUCAACAUCUUUGGUCAUCAUCAGACAAUCUGCUUCUUAUUACACGCAUCCUUCUUAUACUUUGCCCCCGUUAAUGGUGUGCAGUGAACUUAGGAGUGUUUCCUCUUCAGGAACCAUGUGGUCCUCCAAGACAUACAGCUUUCUAUUAUGGUUGAGGAAAUCCUGCAGGUUUUUUCGGUGUCCAAUACCUUCAGGAAUUUUUUUCUCCAAAGGCUCAUGAAUAGGAUUCCAAAAUAUGUUAAUUGUAAUAAAUAAAUAUGCGAAUAAAAGAGUUUUUUUGUUUAACGCUUAAGAAAACCGAAGUGUAAUAAUUAAAUAAGAAUAUAUAAUAAUUAAAAUCGAAAAGGGGUAAAAUGUUUCAGGAUAAAUCAAAAACUAAUGGGGUAGAGACUAACCCCUAAAUAGUUAACAAGAAAAAUAUACACCACAUAGAAAUCCACAACAAAAAUGAAAGUAAAUGGAACAAGUACGAAGCCCAAGAAUUGGACCAGGGGGCCUAGCGGAAGACAUGAAGAAGCCUUUUUACCGCUAGGCCCAACGUCUUGUGAUGUUUUCAACGGCGUCCUUUGCGUACACACGAUAAGCUUACAUAAAAAAACGAAAUAACAAAAAGAUUGGGCCGAGUGUGGGCGGGCGCAAGCCCAAUCAAAAGCAGAAGCGAAUGGUGCGCUGGGCCUAACACGGGUUUUGGAUCCGACCCAACCCAUUGAUGCACAAGCUUAUGGAACAACCCUAACCCUAAAUGAAACCGCCACCCUUGUCCAAAAGCAACCCACAUGGAAAUCAAAUCAAUAGCUAAUGAAAUAUCUCUGUCUAAAUAUCAAACAGUCACACAUUUGGGAAGUGGAAAAGCAGUAAUGUGGCAUUGGGCAACGGAGAGUUAAGUGAAAUUCCAAUCAAAAUAAAGAAAAAGGUAGAAUUCCCCACUAUCUCAUUUUCCUUCCUCUGUUGAAAACCAAAGAAAGAACUCUCCUCCUCAAAACCAAAUACUUUCCCAAGAAUGGCCAAAGGAAAAAGCUUCCAUAAAACCAAACGAACCUUAAACUAAGGUCGAUUCCUAUCCUCACUUUGCCGUAUCCAAGGAUUCGACUGUUUCCCUCAAAACCGUCCUCCAUCGCGAACGCGGUUUUCAUGGAUUCACGCGAGAUGCUUCGAAACGAAACGGCCAACGCCCUGAUUCACAGAUUGUUGGGGUGAUUUACACAGAAAUAAACAAUCCGGAAGCAUAAAAUACUAAAGAAAUAUGAGUUAGCAUACAGAAGACAGAAAUGGAUAGGAAAAAUACCCACAAGAAACGAGUUACGGCCAGGGCUCUUGUAUAUCUUUCUCAAUCUCUCUAACUUCUCUUCUUUUUCUGGAUUUGGGUUGCUUAUCGGUUCGUCACCGUGAUGAAUUUCUGUGAAAUUUUCGGAUGUGGGGUUUUUUUUGGGUCCUCUAUGCGGUCUAAAUUGGGGUUUUUACUUGUCACUGCUCAAAAUGUUAGGGUUUGGUGGUUGAUAAAAUUUUCUAUUGUUGUAGAUCCCUGCUAGGUUCCUCCUUGGUGGUUUUAUGUUAGAUUUUUUAAAGGUUGAUGUUGAUGCAUAAAAUGAUGCAUCUGAAUCCAACUUUUCAGAGAUAAGAGUUUUUUUUUUGUUAUUUUGGUAUAAACUCUGCCACCACUGUAUAUUUAUUAACAAACUGAAUCCUCAACCUUUUUAAUUUGACGCUUUUUAUUGGUGUUUGUUUUCCCUGAGAAUGUGUUAAGCUCAGCGCUGCUAUCACUGCUAUACAUGACAAAUUCGCGCUUGGAAAGAAACAAAGGAACAAAGGGGGGCAAGAUAACAACCGUCCCAUGAAGAAAACAAGUCUUAAUUGGCAAUACUGUAAGAAAUUGUGUUUACUAUGUACUUUUAUCAUUAAAAUAAUAAAAUAAAAUAUUUUUGUUAUGGUUUGGUUUUAGUUACUGUAACAUAAAAAUUGAACUUUAAACUAGAAGAUCUUUUUUUUAAAUUUUUUUUUUCUUUGUGAAUAUAGACAAAAGGUAACAUAAAACUAAUUUUUUUCAUUAUUUUUUUAAAAUAAAAAUAAAUAAACAAUAAAUAGGAAUUAUAAUGUUACAAAAUAUUCAAAAUAAAUUCAAAUGAAAUGAAUAAUUGUAAAACAAAUUAGAAUUGGUAAAAUAAAAAUGUAAAACAAAUUUAGAAAAAAAAUUAUCAUUAUCAAUUUUUUUUUUAAAUUCAUAUCUUAAAUUUGUGAAAACAAAAAUUAAUUUGUCAUACUUAAUUUAAAACUAACAAUAAAAACUUUAACUUGCUAGAAAUUUAAAAUUAAUAGCAGGCAAACCAAAAGAACCUCAUUUUNCGAACGCUGUCAUGUUCUCAUGUUGCUUUUGCAACUCUGAGUUCAUGACAUCCAGCAUGAGACAAGAAGUUUCAUUGGCAUCAUCGACAUGCUUCUUAUAAGCAUCUCUUUCUGCCUUAGGUGCAGAACUAGGAGGUUCCUCUUCAGGAACAUGUGUCUCCAAGACAUACAGCUUUCUAUUAUGGUUGAGGACAAUCCUCAGGUUUCGGUGUCAAUCCUCAGGAAUUUUUUUCUCAAAGGCUUCAUGAAUAGGAUUCCAAAAUAUGUUAAUUGUAAUAAAUAAAUAUGCGAAUAAAAGAGUUUUGUUUUAACGCUUAAGAAAACGAAGUGUAAUAAUUAAAUAAGAAUAAUAAUAAUUAAAAUCGAAAAGGGUAAUGUUUUCAGGAUAAAUCAAAACUAAAUGGGGUAGAGACUACCCUAAAUAGUUAACAAGAAAAAUAUAAACACCACAUAAAAUCCACACAAAAUGAAGUAAAUGGAACAAGUACCAAGCCAAGAAUUGGACCAGGGGCCUAGCGGAAGACAUGAGAAGCCUUUACCGCUAGGCCCAAAGCGGUCUUGUGAUGUUUCACGGCGUCCUUGCGUACACAGAUAAGAUUACAUAAAAAACGAAAUAAAAAAAAGAUUGGGCCGAGUGUGGGCGGGCGCAGCCCAAUCAAAGCAGAAGCGAAUGGUGCGCUGGGCCUACAGCGGGUUGGAUCCGACCCAACCCACUUGAUGCACCAAGCUUAUGGAAAACCCUAACCCUAAAUGAAACCGCCACCCCUUGUCCAAAAGCAACCCACAUGGAAAUCAAAUCAAUAGCUAAUGAAUAUCUAUUGUUCCUAAAUAUCAACAGUCAUCAAUUGGGAAGUGGAAAAGCAGUAAUGGCAUUGGGCAACGGAGAAGUUAGUGAAAUUCCAAUCAAAAUAAAGAAAAAGGUAGAAUUCCCCCCACUUCUCAUUUCUCCUUCUCUGUUGAAACCAAAGAAAGAACUCUCUCUCUCAAAACCAAAUACUUUCCCAAGAAUGCCAAAGGAAAAAGCUUCCAUAAACCAAACCGAAACCUUAAACUAAUGGUCGAUUCCCAAUCCUCCCUUUGCCGUAUCCAAGGAUUCGACUGUUUCCCUCAACCGUCUCCAUCGCGAACCGGUUUCAUGGAUUCACGGCGAGAUGCUUCGAACGAAACGGCCAACGCCCUUAUUCACAGAUGUUGGGGUGAUUUACACAGAAAUAAACAAUCCGGAAAGCAUAAAUACGAAAGAAAUAUGAGUUAGCAUACAGAAGAAGAAAUGGAUAGGAAAAAUACCCCACAAGAAACGAGUUACGCAAGGCUCUUGUAUAUCUUUCUCAAUCUCUCUACUUCUCUUCUUUUUAUGGAUUUGGGUUGCUUAUCGGUUCGUCACCGUGAUGAUUUCUGUGAAAUUUUCGGAUGUGGUUUUUUGGGUCCUCUAUGCGUCUAAAUUGUUUUACUUGUCACUGCUCAAAAUGUUAGGGUUUGGUGGUUGAUAAAAUUUUCUAUUGUUGUGAGAUCCCUGCUAGGUUCCUCCUUGGUGGUUUUUAUGUUAGAUUUUUUUAAGGUGUGAUGUUGAUGCAUAAAAUGAUGCAUCUGAUCCAACUUUUCAAGAGAUAAGAGUUUUUUUUUUGUUAUUUUGGUAUAAACUCUGCCACCACUUAUAUUUAUUAACAAACUGCUCCUCAACCUUUUUAAUUUGACGCUUUUUAUUGGUGUUUGUUUCCUGUAAAUGUGUUAAGCUGCAGCUCUGCUAUCACUGCCUAUACAUGACAAAUCUCCGCUUGGAAAGAAACAAAGGAACAAAGGGGGGCAAGAUAACAACCGGUCCCAUGAAGAUAAACAAGUCUUAUUGCAAUACUGUAGAAUUGUGUUUACUAUGUACUUUUAUCAUUAAAAUAAUAAAAUAAAAUAUUUUUGUUAUGUUGGUUUUAGUUACUGUAACAUAAAAAUUGAACUUUAACUAGAAGACUUUUUUUAAAUUUUUUUUCUUGUGAUAUAGACAAAAGGUAACAUAAAAACUAAUUUUUUUAAUUAUUUUUUUUAAAAUAAAAUAAAAUAAACAUAAUAGAAUUAUAAAUGUUACAAAAUAUUCAAAUAAAUUCAAAUGAAAUGAAUAAAUUGUAAAAACAAAUUAGAAUUGUAAAAUAAAAUGUAAAACAAAUUUAGAAAAAAAAUUAUCAUUAUCAUUUUUUUUUAAAUUCAUAUCUUAAUUUGUGAAACAAAAAUUAAUUUGUCAAUACUUAUUUAAACAUAACAUAAAAACUUAACUUGCUAGAAAUUUAAAAAUAAUACCAAGGCAAACCAAAAAGAACCUAAUUUUUGAGAAUGUAAAGAUAUAACUCUAAAUAAUUAAAACUAAAUCUUCCAUGACAAAAAUAACCAAGGCAAACCAAAAAGAACCUAAUUUUUGAGAAUGUAAAGAUAUAACUCUAAAUAAUUAAAACUAAAUCUUCCAUGACAAAAAUCUCUAAACCUACAAGCACUUAAUGUAAUGCAACAAAUAUCGAUUAUGGGCAUGUGGUGUACAUGAAUAUGAAUGCUUAUGAAUGAAGAUCAUAUUUUUUAUGUGAAUUGGUAAAUAGAAAAAAAAAA